Molecule: unclassified non-coding RNA, 240 nt
Filed under: soil metagenome
Description: partial contains 5.8S ribosomal RNA, internal transcribed spacer 2, and large subunit ribosomal RNA
Source: RNAcentral
AACUGAUACUACCUGCGGGAACCUGCGGAAGGAUCAUUAUUGAAUAAACUUGGUUAGGUUGUUGCUGGCUCCUAGGAGCAUGUGCACGCCGACUCCAUUUUUAACCACCUGUGCACCUUGCGUAGAUCUGAUACUCUCGAGGAAACUCGGUUUGAGAAUUGCUGUGCGUCAGCCAGCUCUUCUUGUAAUCAGGUCUAUGUUUCUAUAUACCCCAUAUGAAUGUAUUCAGAAUGUCGUAAC